Molecule: ribosomal RNA, 492 nt
Filed under: Salmonella enterica subsp. enterica serovar Newport
Lineage: Bacteria; Pseudomonadati; Pseudomonadota; Gammaproteobacteria; Enterobacterales; Enterobacteriaceae
Description: partial 23S ribosomal RNA
Rfam family: Bacterial large subunit ribosomal RNA
Source: RNAcentral
UCUGCGAUAAGCGCCGGUAAGGUGAUAUGAACCGUUAUAACCGGCGAUUUCCGAAUGGGGAAACCCAGUGUGAUUCGUCACACUAUCAUUAACUGAAUCCAUAGGUUAAUGAGGCGAACCGGGGGAACUGAAACAUCUAAGUACCCCGAGGAAAAGAAAUCAACCGAGAUUCCCCCAGUAGCGGCGAGCGAACGGGGAGGAGCCCAGAGCCUGAAUCAGCAUGUGUGUUAGUGGAAGCGUCUGGAAAGGCGCGCGAUACAGGGUGACAGCCCCGUACACAAAAGCGCAUGUGCUGUGAGCUCGAUGAGUAGGGCGGGACACGUGGUAUCCUGUCUGAAUAUGGGGGGACCAUCCUCCAAGGCUAAAUACUCCUGACUGACCGAUAGUGAACCAGUACCGUGAGGGAAAGGCGAAAAGAACCCCGGCGAGGGGAGUGAAAAAGAACCUGAAACCGUGUACGUACAAGCAGUGGGAGCACAGGUUUACCUGUGU